GCAUUUUCGUUGAAAAUCACCAAAAAAAUUCUGACUACGAAUCAGAAGGUCGGGGGUUCGAGUCCCUUCCAGCGCACCA
RNAcentral lists this transfer RNA (79 nucleotides) under Ackermannviridae sp. RNAcentral describes it as "tRNA-Arg". Lineage: Duplodnaviria; Heunggongvirae; Uroviricota; Caudoviricetes; Pantevenvirales; Ackermannviridae. The record is from RNAcentral.